Long non-coding RNA from Carassius gibelio (silver crucian carp), 1457 nucleotides. RefSeq lists it as uncharacterized. The record is from RefSeq and is a predicted model, not a curated record. The transcript is spliced from 5 exons. NCBI's taxonomy places the organism in Eukaryota, Metazoa, Chordata, Actinopteri, Cypriniformes, Cyprinidae.
AUCAAUUCACACUGAGGACAACUGAGGGACUCAAAUGAACAUAAGCACCCGAUUCGAACGUUAUCACUCGAUUGAAUGGGGCGUUAUCAGCGGUUAUCAGCCCAUAGCUAUGGGCCAGGAGGGGCCUCCUGCGCCUACUAGUAGGCUCAGAAGGCCGUGAUCAUCCAUCCAAAUGGUUGAUCACCAACAAAUAUACAAGAGAAGACUCCAGAUCCAAUCCCAGAAUUCCUGCUCACCGGUAAUCGGAAGUCUACUGGACGAAAGCGGGAACGUUGCGAUAUUUCCUGCUUAAUAUUUUCAGCAUACAUCUCCAGCUGGUUGCAAGGACUUCUGUGGCAAGUUUGUUUUAUUACUUCCAUGCUCUAUGUCUUUGUUGAACUAUCCAAAAUUUGGUUUUGGGCUGUUUAGAAUUUAUUGUUCACAAAUCUGUCUUGUGCAAGUUUCUCUCUGUUUGUGUUUUAGGUUGAAGAUGGCCCAGAGAGGUUAGCCUUACAGUUGCUGAUCUAGAAGCAUUAGGCAAGAGUGUCUGAGAAAGAUGGUAUGAUCUGCAACACUGUCUUUUUUUAUUACUGAUUUAUUACUGACUAUCUAUUUCUUUCUUUGUUGUUAUUCACCAAGAGAGAACUCCCAUUAAUGGGAAUCAAAAGGAAACCCUGAAAUCAUGUUUUAAGGAUGGAAUGACAUGAGUUGUUUCAGAAUUCAAGAGCUGCAUCAGCUACUGGUUUGGACACCAGUGUCGUAGAAAUAAGAACUGGAUAGGUAAUUACAAAAGAUCACAAAUGACUAAUGCUUCGUCUGAGCCCCGGCCAUCAAAGGCCAAAGUUCACAUUAGAGAGCUGUCGGAUUACAAUCUUUUUUAUAGGGACAUAUUCAAAAACAAAGUUUUUCCUCAGGCACAAUGAAUGAUAUUAAGGGCAGGUGCGCCACAUUGGGGGAAGAUGCAAAGCAGAAAUACAUUCAAGAGGCAGCAGCACUGAGGGCACAUGGGCAGUCACAGGACACUAAACCCUGAGAUGGAGGCAAUUUGUGCUGUGUCUGCCGCGUCCAUUUUUAUGAUAAGAAGAAGAAUGCAAGAAAGAAGUGGCAUUCAUGGUCUCAGUGCACAGUGUGCCAAUCAUGGUCACACACAGCAUGUGGCUUUAAAAAGAACAUGUGCCUUCACUGCAAAUGUGAAGACACCAUGCUAACACCCUGAAGAUGUAUCUUGUUACUUGUUUGAGUUGUUUUCACUGUGUUGACGGCCCCCAACCCAUCCAUACAAACACACACACACAAUACAUACAUAUGCUGCAAAUUUAUUGUAAUGACCACACUUCACACGUAAGAAGAAAAUUGUGAUCUUUUUGUUAUUUUCAUUCACCCCAUUUUUAUUUAUUAUUGUUGUUUGUUGGCACCAUCAAUGUGUUCUCCUUUAUACAGGACUUAUGUGGAGACCAAUAAAGUUAUAUUGUACUGAA